Long non-coding RNA from Carassius gibelio (silver crucian carp), 1675 nucleotides. RefSeq lists it as uncharacterized. The record is from RefSeq and is a predicted model, not a curated record. NCBI's taxonomy places the organism in Eukaryota, Metazoa, Chordata, Actinopteri, Cypriniformes, Cyprinidae. The transcript has 4 exons.
GCGAUGAAACCACUUCGCACCGAUCGAAUCAUCAGUCCUGCAAGUUCAUCAACACUUCACUUGAUUUAAAACUUUGACGCUACUGUAAACAUUAAUGAAGGACUUUUUAUGGUUGUCCUAUUAAUUUUUAGACAUAGAAAACUUGCUUAGAUACUCGUGGGGGUCAUGAUAGUCAGUCUCUUUCAUUCAUUGUCAGUUAAUCCGUGAUGGUUAAUAGUUAUUUACAUGACAGCGAUGGCAAAUCCAUGUAACAUUACUGCUGACAUGAAACAGUACAUUCUGAGGGAGGUAGGCUUAGAGAUUUGUAAUGUUCAUUGUUUAAUGAACGCAUGUUAUUGUUUUAAUUAAAUGUUUUGUACUUAGGCUCCUCCAACUAUUUGCGUUAGUAUGUUCCAAAUUUUAUAACGGAUGACGAGGAGGAAUAUUUGUUGCAGUAGGACUUUUAUCUGUGAUGCUACUAUGUACCUACAUAACAUGUCAGCAGUGCUUUAUACACACUGCCCUGUGUCUCUUUUGUAAGGUAUACAGAGCUCCCAAGCCCAAGUGGACACAGUUGUCAGGGAGGAGGCUACAGAACUGGGGGUUUGAUAGAACUGGCUGGAAGACCUGCUAAGAGGGCAUUGCAAUAGUCCAGCCUGGACAGAACAAGAGCUUGAACAAGGAGUUGUGCAGCAUGAUGGUGGAUUGCCAAAUCCCAAAGGAAUGCUUGCUGAGAAACUCCCUUAUUGGCUGCUAAAGUACACAGAGAAAAUAUCGGCUCUUGUAGUUUUUGCUGGAAAGACAGCUAAUCAUGUGCUUGUGAAUACAAGCCUGGGGAGGGAAUUAUGUCUGAAACUCCUCAAACAGAAGAAAGCUGUUACAUGCUAUCAUUGUUGGUACAAUGAAGAAGUCUGCUGAUUCUCCAGGAUGACAUGUACAAAUUCUAUCUGCAUGGUAUUCACGGAGUUUGUGAGGAUAUUUUCGUCGGAAGGUGUGGUGAAUCUCUCAUCAACGAAGGCUCAGGAGGGCAACACGCUGCCCCGCAGCACCAGAGUCUCCCUUACCAUUCGCCAUGUUCCCAAAGUUAUCCGGACCAAUCUGUUGCUUGGCAAGAAGUGACACAUUCACAGACUUGCUUGAACUCUGAACCAGACAAACAGGUUAUACAUGUUUACACCCGCAAUGCAAAGUGUGGGAAAGCAAUAUACAAGUGUCUACAGUAUAUUAUUGUACAUGCAGAGCAUUAGUGUCUGUAAGGGUAUUUCAUUAUAGAUACCUUACUUGGCGGCAUGCAGCAGCCUUUAAAAUAUUUGUCUUCUCAAAGAUGAAAGGUAUACAGGGUUGUCUAAGCUUGUGCAAACAGAUCUGCAUUGAUAAACAAAUGGCUUUUUUGCGACAUAAAUAAAUUGCUGUAUUUAUGCAUUUAGCAGAUGCUUUUAUCCAAAGCGACUUACAGUGCAUUCAGGCUGUCAAUUUUUACCUAUCAUUUACAGUCUGUUGUAUUGUGUGUGUGUUUACACGUUUGUAUAAUCCUGUGCCAGUCUGUCACGCAAACUACAACUCGUCGUUCAGGUGUUAAGUCUUCCCCUCCUAAAAUUCUUGGAAAUAUGGGCUGGUCUUUCUCUACGAUGUUUGCGUAUCGUUCUUAUGUGGGCUGGUAGUACGCCGUUUGCGUAACUUCUGGACUCUGCAUAUA